This 287-nucleotide unclassified non-coding RNA is filed under the name uncultured fungus. RNAcentral's name for it is "partial contains 5.8S ribosomal RNA, internal transcribed spacer 2, and large subunit ribosomal RNA". The stretch from base 1 to 52 matches the Rfam family "5.8S ribosomal RNA", at positions 103 to 154 of the family's 154-position model. Lineage: Eukaryota; Fungi. The record is from RNAcentral.
AACGCACCUUGCACUCUUUGGUAUUCCGAAGAGUAUGUCUGUUUGAGUGUCAUGAAACUCUCAACCCCCCAGUUUUGUAAUGAAACCGGUGUGGGCUUGGAUUAUGGCUGCCUGUCGGCGUCACGUCGGCUCAGCUGAAACAUACGAGCUGCCCCUUGAAAAUAGACGGUCUGACUCGGCGUAAUAAAUAUUUCGCUGAGGACGUCUUCUUUGUUAUGACUGGCGCUUCCAAUGCAAUAAUCUUUCGAUUAGACCUCAAAUCAGGCAGGACUACCCGCUGAACUUAA